GAUGAACGCUAGCUACAGGCUUAACACAUGCAAGUCGAGGGGAAACGACAUCGAAAGCUUGCUUUUGAUGGGCGUCGACCGGCGCACGGGUGAGUAACGCGUAUCCAACCUGCCCAUCACUUGGGGAUAACCUUGCGAAAGUAAGACUAAUACCCAAUGAUAUCUCUAGAAGACAUCUGAAAGAGAUUAAAGAUUUAUCGGUGAUGGAUGGGGAUGCGUCUGAUUAGCUUGUUGGCGGGGUAACGGCCCACCAAGGCAACGAUCAGUAGGGGUUCUGAGAGGAAGGUCCACCACAUUGGAACUGAGACACGGUCCAAACUCCUACGGGAGGCAGCAGUGAGGAAUAUUGGUCAAUGGGCGAGAGCCUGAACCAGCCAAGUAGCGUGCAGGAAGACGGCCCUAUGGGUUGUAAACUGCUUUUAUAAGGGAAUAAAGUGAGAGUCGUGACUCUUUUUGUAUGUACCUUAUGAAUAAGGACCGGCUAAUUCCGUG
This 492-nucleotide ribosomal RNA is filed under the name uncultured bacterium. Its description in RNAcentral is "partial 16S ribosomal RNA". It matches the Rfam family "Bacterial small subunit ribosomal RNA", at positions 28 to 507 of the family's 1533-position model. The record is from RNAcentral.